CGCGUAGGUGGUUCAGUAAGAUGGGUGUGAAAUCCCCGGGCUCAACCUGGGAACUGCAUCCAUAACUGCUGGGCUAGAGUACGGUAGAGGGUAGUGGAAUUUCCUGUGUAGCGGUGAAAUGCGUAGAUAUAGGAAGGAACACCAGUGGCGAAGGCGACUACCUGGACUGAUACUGACACUGAGGUGCGAAAGCGUGGGGAGCAAACAGGAUUAGAUACCCUAGUA
RNAcentral lists this ribosomal RNA (225 nucleotides) under uncultured Pseudomonas sp. RNAcentral describes it as "partial 16S ribosomal RNA". It matches the Rfam family "Bacterial small subunit ribosomal RNA", at positions 568 to 792 of the family's 1533-position model. Lineage: Bacteria; Pseudomonadati; Pseudomonadota; Gammaproteobacteria; Pseudomonadales; Pseudomonadaceae. The record is from RNAcentral.